This 253-nucleotide ribosomal RNA is filed under the name uncultured bacterium. RNAcentral's name for it is "partial 16S ribosomal RNA". It matches the Rfam family "Bacterial small subunit ribosomal RNA", at positions 524 to 776 of the family's 1533-position model. The record is from RNAcentral.
GACGAAGGGGGCUAGCGUUGUUCGGAAUUACUGGGCGUAAAGCGCGUGUAGGCGGUUGUCCAAGUCGGGGGUGAAAGCCUUGAGCUCAACUCAAGAAAUGCACUCGGUACUGAGUGACUAGAGGACCGGAGAGGAUAGUGGAAUUCCCAGUGUAGUGGUGAAAUACGUAGAGAUUGGGAAGAACACCAGUGGCGAAGGCGGCUAUCUGGACGGUUUCUGACGCUAAGACGCGAAAGCGUGGGGAGCAAACAGG